GCAGCCAAGAACUGGAGGGGACCCCUUGAUAUAAUUACGUGCUACUAGCCCUAGAACGGAGUUCAGAGUGUAUGCAAUGGGGAAGAAGAAAGGAGGAGAAACCCAUACGCCCAGCGAACAAAGGGAAGGGCACAAUUUGCUCGGCUCACCGACUUUCGAGCAUCUGGAGAACGGACGGUACAAAUGUGUCGAAACGGGCCACGAGCUGCCGGCUCACGCCAGAGACUCUUACGCUGAGUCCAAGCACUGUCGCCUGGGCCUCAUCGACUCUGCCCUGGCCGGCAAAAAGCCUCCUCUCAACAUGUUCCGACAGGACCCUGCUUCACGUUCGAAGUUAAUAUGCAGAUUAACGGGAGUUACGAUCAAUAAGACGGAGGAGCAUAUAUGGAAGCAUAUAAAUGGGAAGCGCUUUCUCAACAUGUUAGAUAAAAUGGAGGCUGAAAAAGAAAUGCCGAAUGGGACAAUGGAAAAGCAGGAUAAGGGAAAAGAGAAGAAGAAAAAGAAGAAGAACGAAGAUGGUGGUUUGAAGAAGAAGAUAGAGAAAGAGGAAGAACAUGUUGAUGAGAUUAUCAAUGAAGUAAGAGAUUCUACAGGCAAGAGUAGUGAUUCCGAAACUGAAGCUGACUUUUGGAUGCCUCCUGUUGGGGAACGCUGGGACCAUGAUGAUGGGGGUGAUAGAUGGGGCUCUGGUUCUGAGUCAGGACCAGAGAGUGAUGAUGCUGGUGAAGAAGAUUUGGGAGCUGAAGAAACAAAACAUGAAGCUGGGGAGCUAUCAAGAAGGACAAAGCGAAUGUCCCUAGAAAUUGGACCUAGUAGCUUUGCCUCGAGGAAGAAGAAAAAGAAGACCAAUGUUGCGUGAAAAGUAUAGCACCCGAGAUCCAAACCCAGUGCAGAUGCAUCAAACCCUGUUUUAGUUGCAAAAUAUGCACAUCUCAACAUCAUAGUGUAUACACUGGAAGACAAGGGUGACUCCUAAUCCAUGAUGAAGCAUUGCAACUACAAAUAAGGUGAAGAGGAGGACAUUCUUGUGCAAUCUAAAGUCAUAAUUCAUCUACAUAUCUCCUGAUUUAGGAACGCUCGAGUACCACCAAUGCCAAAAUAGCAAUCACCAAGCUCUUCAAUCACGAAUUCUCAUUCAGUAUCUCCAGUUCCAAAAUAACGAUCACCAAACUCGCCCAUGCCUGGUAGUA
This is an RNA transcript of Sesamum indicum (sesame), 1190 nucleotides long. It is a transcript of the gene named Surfeit locus protein 2 (SURF2), with no coding region annotated. The record is from RefSeq and is a predicted model, not a curated record. Lineage: Eukaryota; Viridiplantae; Streptophyta; Magnoliopsida; Lamiales; Pedaliaceae.